This is a long non-coding RNA of Cornus florida, 915 nucleotides long. RefSeq lists it as uncharacterized. Lineage: Eukaryota; Viridiplantae; Streptophyta; Magnoliopsida; Cornales; Cornaceae. The transcript has 5 exons. The record is from RefSeq and is a predicted model, not a curated record.
CCCCCUUCUAUAUUCUCGGUUUGCUCCCUGUGAGAAGAAAGAAAAGAAAGUGGGGGACGAAGAGUAGAGAAGCAACACAGUCGGAGGGUUUCGUGACUGAUUGCCACCAAGAUGUAUCAAUUUUUUAAAGAAACACUAUAUCCAGCUAUUGGUGGUUAUCUUUUUUUCGGUGGCACCAUUGUACUCUUUAUGGGGAUGACUAAAGUUGUGGACUGGUUCGAACGAGAUAAAUACCUGCAACAGCUGAGCAGAGGAUAUAAUGAGAAAAUAUAAUGAUGAGGAAAAAAGGGCUCUAUUGAAGGCUCUAAAAGCAAAAUAUGGAUUGUGCAAAACCUUCUACGGGACUCGGUUAAAGAUUACUAGCAAAUACAACAACUUAAGGUAGUUCACAGUUUGCCUGAGAAACUAAUAUAUCUGUCAUUUGACUAGAAGCUUAAUGUUGCUGCUUAUCUGAAACCAGUACUAUGAAUGAGAAUGCUAACUGCUUAAGGUGGACAGUUCGCGACUUUGCGCGGGAGUUUUACAGUAUAUAUAUUUUUCAUUUGGCUUGAAAAUUUUACGGUAAUUAUAGAUAAAAAUGCACACGAAUGCUUAAUGUCGAUGGCUUUUACGUGAAUUAUGGCAAGAAGAUGCAUGGGAAAUCCGGAAAAGCUGUAGUAGGCUCCAUCCCACAAAGGCCUCGAGUUAAAGUAUGGAUCAGAUUCAAUUAAGAGAAGAAGAGUGAAGAGUCAUUCUUAGGCCCCGUUUGGAUUGACUUUUCAAAUGUUGCUUUUGGCUUUUUGAGUUUGGAAGUUGUUUUAAGUAGUGUUUGGCUAAUUUUUUUAAAGAGCUUUUGAGUCUUGAAAGAGUGUUUUGGAGAAGCUGGUACCCUUAGCUUCUCCAAAACGCUCUUCUAAAAAUACACGGGAAGAGUAU